AUGGGCUUCCCCCCGGCGGUGCCCAGGCUCCUGCCCAACCUCCUCUUCCUGCUUACCCACCUGCGCCGCCUCUCCUCCUGGCUGCUCGGCGCCGGCAUUGACCACCCAAACAACUCAGACUCAGACCACCACCACCACCACCACGGCACCACCAGCCUCAAGGAGCUGGAGGAGCACUGCCCGGCCGUGCGCUUCGACGAGCUCUCCGUAUCCAACGACGGCACCAGCCCCGGGAUGCCCAUCCUCCCAGAGGGAUGCGUGGUGUGCCUCAGCGACUUCCACGGCACCGCGUGUGUGCGCCGGCCGCGGCGGUGCCGGCACGUCUUUCACUUUGGCUGCCUCGACCGCUGGGCCGCUCACGGCCACAGAACCUGCCCGCUCUGCCGGGCUCCGUUCCUCCCGCCCUUCCUCCUGCCCAUGCCAGUCCCGACGUCGUGA
RNAcentral lists this ribosomal RNA (438 nucleotides) under Triticum aestivum (bread wheat). Its description in RNAcentral is "partial small subunit ribosomal RNA". The record is from RNAcentral. Lineage: Eukaryota; Viridiplantae; Streptophyta; Magnoliopsida; Poales; Poaceae.